This 1078-nucleotide ribosomal RNA is filed under the name Acinetobacter sp. RNAcentral's name for it is "bacterial SSU rRNA". It matches the Rfam family "Bacterial small subunit ribosomal RNA", at positions 380 to 1449 of the family's 1533-position model. The record is from RNAcentral. Lineage: Bacteria; Pseudomonadati; Pseudomonadota; Gammaproteobacteria; Moraxellales; Moraxellaceae.
AGCCUGAUCCAGCCAUGCCGCGUGUGUGAAGAAGGCCUUAUGGUUGUAAAGCACUUUAAGCGAGGAGGAGGCUACUUUAGUUAAUACCUAGAGAUAGUGGACGUUACUCGCAAAAUAAGCACCGGCUAACUCUGUGCCAGCAGCCGCGGUAAUACAGAGGGUGCAAGCGUUAAUCGGAUUUACUGGGCGUAAAGCGCGCGUAGGCGGCUAAUUAAGUCAAAUGUGAAAUCCCCGAGCUUAACUUGGGAAUUGCAUUCGAUACUGGUUAGCUAGAGUGUGGGAGAGGAUGGUAGAAUUCCAGGUGUAGCGGUGAAAUGCGUAGAGAUCUGGAGGAAUACCGAUGGCGAAGGCAGCCAUCUGGCCUAACACUGACGCUGAGGUGCGAAAGCAUGGGGAGCAAACAGGAUUAGAUACCCUGGUAGUCCAUGCCGUAAACGAUGUCUACUAGCCGUUGGGGCCUUUGAGGCUUUAGUGGCGCAGCUAACGCGAUAAGUAGACCGCCUGGGGAGUACGGUCGCAAGACUAAAACUCAAAUGAAUUGACGGGGGCCCGCACAAGCGGUGGAGCAUGUGGUUUAAUUCGAUGCAACGCGAAGAACCUUACCUGGCCUUGACAUAGUAAGAACUUUCCAGAGAUGGAUUGGUGCCUUCGGGAACUUACAUACAGGUGCUGCAUGGCUGUUGUCAGCUCGUGUCGUGAGAUGUUGGGUUAAGUCCCGCAACGAGCGCAACCCUUUUCCUUAUUUGCCAGCGAGUAAUGUCGGGAACUUUAAGGAUACUGCCAGUGACAAACUGGAGGAAGGCGGGGACGACGUCAAGUCAUCAUGGCCCUUACGGCCAGGGCUACACACGUGCUACAAUGGUCGGUACAAAGGGUUGCCACCUAGCGAUAGGAUGCUAAUCCCAAAAAGCCGAUCGUAGUCCGGAUUGGAGUCUGCAACUCGACUCCAUGAAGUCGGAAUCGCUAGUAAUCGCGGAUCAGAAUGCCGCGGUGAAUACGUUCCCGGGCCUUGUACACACCGCCCGUCACACCAUGGGAGUUUGUUGCACCAGAAGUAGCUAGCCUAACUGCAAAGAGG